GAUCAGCCUGCAAUCCCGGCUGGAGGCAGGCGCAGGACUUGGAGAGAGCCAGACGCACACGCUCACACAUAUACUCACAUACAUGAGUCCGAUACCUUCUCCGACUUACGAGGGUCUUGGGUCGCCGUGCCUGCUCCUCAUGUGAUCCUUUCAUCAUUUCCAGAGGACAGAAAGAGACAGAAAAAAAAAAAGCUAACAACCAAAAAAACCCAAAAAAAAACCAGAAAGAAAAAGAAAGAAACCCCAAGACCAAGCGUAGCCGCGGUCCCCUCUCGUUUAUUUUUUUACCGGAGAAGGAGGAACGGCGGGGGAAAGAGAGAGCGAAUCGAGGAGAGAAAGUGCGUUGGGAAUGCCAGAGCCGUGGGCUGCGCGCCGGAGGAGGAGGUGGCGGAGCAGGGGGUAGGACGAUGCCGCCGUGCAAGGGCGGAGGAAGGCGCGGGAGGCGCGGGGGUCGCUCGGAGCUCGGCGGCCGGCGGGGAACGGGCCCGCGGGGCCGGCCGGGAGCGGCGCCGGGCGGAGGGCGGCGGCCAGCACCGAGGAGCGGCGGCGGCAAAGUUUUGGUGUGGGGGGCCAGAGGCGCGGAGGGGAAUUACGAUCGGUGCCGGCGAGGGAUUCCCAGACACCGCCAGGAAACAUGCAAGGUAUUCUAGUGGAGUCCAAAGGAGUUUUUUUCUCUACAAUGUGUUUGAUAUGUCAACAGAAAUUCCUCACCAAACAUCAGACCAAGGGAGCAGCUUUUCAUCACCUCAAACUUCUGUGGUAAAAUAACACAUGUGAUAUCAAAAAUAAUAUCAUAAUAAAUCUUGAAUAGGUAUCUAACACCCAAAUGCAUGUCAGAAGCUCUUUGCUGUUGUAUAUCUGUGGGAGGCUCCACCAGCUAUGCCUUGUACAUAGGGAAUGCAAAAAAAAGUCUGUGGUUACCCUUUCAUUUGUGCCCUCAGAAGAUAAGCAUCCAUAAAAAGCUCUUUGAUCCUCUGGAUUUAGAUAACAAUGUUGUAAUUAAUUAAUGAAUGGCUAUUUUUACAAUAUAAUUGACUUAUGUCCCCUUACCAGAGUCAGCUGAACACCAGUAUUUGCCAGCAGUCAAAAAUUAAUUUUGCAAAACGUUAGAAAGAUAUUCAGGUUUAUGUUGAAGGAUACUAAAAUUGUAUCUGUUUAUGGCUACAAAAUUCUUCUGUACUAUUUUUUUUUCAAACUGACUUAAUGUUAAUGUAGAGCUGAAUCUCCAGAAUUUUUCAAUAAACAUUUCAGAAUGUCAAAGAUAUUUGAAGUGAUGUCAUGGAACAACUUGACAUUUCUUAGCUCUAUAUGGAUUAAAACUGAGAUUAAUGUAAGGGAUGAAUCAAUAUGGACCAAACCAUUAAGUGUGCCUUAUAAAAAUUAAUCUGCUGAAAUUGAAAAUACACAUUUAAAGUCCUACUAGCUUAAAUUUUGCCUAAUGACAAUUCUAGCUGCUUCCAGAAAGGGAUAGUUAGUAGAUGAAAUCAGAAUUGAGUUUCAGAAUGUUGCAAUUGGAACCAAAAACACUGAGGAAAGGGAUUUGUGUGAAACAAGCCACUAAAAGAACCAAGGCACUGCAUAUCCCAACUCUUUAAAUUAUUAAGUAUUACAAAGGUGAGAAGUUAAUUAAUUAGACUCUCAAAAGAAACAAUAUAAUCUCACCAAACUCUUCACUCUGACAAUACUCCCACUGCACUAUCUUGUAAGAUAUUUCUUUUCAAGAGAAUAGUCAGCACUUAGACAAAAGUUUCUUUUAAAAAUAAAACUGAAAUCAACAAACUAAGGAUUUCAGGGCCAUGGAAAGUUAAAUAAAGCCUGAAGAGUUUACAAAUAUUAGCAGCAGUUAUUGUUUAAGAUAGUGGGAAAGGUUAAGGAAAACUAUAUGGAUGACAAAGAUAAAACCUUGCAUAAUUAAGAAACAAUUUGCAUAACCUGGUAACUAUUGAGAUCUGAUUUCUCUCUCGGUUUAUUUGGGUUUGUUUUUUCCCAGGUAUGACCUUGUUUUCGCCCCAAAAAAGCAAUUAUUGGAAUAAGUACUAGUGCAUGAGAAUGCUAACAGGACAGGUAAUGUUUGGUGGAGUAAAUAAUGGUUUCAUUUUGAGAAUCAUGACAGAUUUUAACUAAAUUCUAGAGUUACUCAAAUGUAUAUAAAAUGCUUUUUUAUAUAAACUUAACAUAUCCAAAUGAGGAAAAAUCUUAAAGCAAUUUGAUUGUUGUAUGCCUACUGUACUGAGAAGAACCUACAAGGUAUUAUUUGGAACCAAAGCAGGAGGGGUUUUUUUUGCACUCUUUUGGAGUCAGGAGUUUUGUAUUUUUACUCUUUAAAUAUAUGAUAUUUAUAGAAGUCCUCAAAUCCUUCUGGGUCACCCCAUGUUGAUCUGAGUCACAAGCAUCAGUGCAAACAAUAGUUUAUCCAAAAUUUAUAUUACUUCAAACUAGCACCAUUGAUCCUGACCCUAGGAGAGGCAGAAUUGGGACUAAAACUGACAAAGAAAUGGCAAUCUGGGCAAAACCUCUGGUGACCUGUGAAUGCAUAAGAUUUCCAGGUCAUUCUCUGUCUGUCAGAGCAAUAUAGAAACAUAGCUAUGGUUACAUAAUUGUUAUAGUGGUCACCUUAGGGUCUCUUUUAGAUAAAACUGAUGCAAGCUUUGCAGAUACAUUUCCUGAUUAAACACACAUAAAGUCUCUUGAAGUUCGGGAUUUCAAAAAAAUCUUUAACAUUUUAGGUUUUCAUUACUAGAAUUGUUGAUAUCAUUUCAAGGUAAGGUAAUAAUGUAAUUUGUUCAUGUAAAGUCAAUAUAAUCUCAUUAUAACAUUGCUGUUGAUUUUACCUAACGUUUAUAAAUCACAUCAUAAUGGAAAUUAAGUCAUAACUAUAGAACUUUAAAAAAGAAUCAAUAUCUCCUUUUUGUUAUUAAUUAUUUUCAAGGAAAAGAAAAUUUUCUCUAGACUUAUUUAAAAAAUCUUUUUUUUUUCUCUCAUUUAAUGUUGCUGCUGCCUUUGAAUCAUUAAGACAAUUUCCUUGCGGGCCACCAUUCUCUGCUAAGUUCCAUCAGGCUGUAAAAUCCUGUAAACUAAGAGUGUGGUAGAAAUUUUUUUUGUUCUGUUGCUGUUCUCAAAAAAUAAAAAUAAAUAAAUUUCAAAGGUUUAAAAUUACCACCUCUUCUACAAAACAUAAGUACAGAUGUUUUGAAAGUUUCCAAGAGUGACAUGACAAGCACUUGGGUUUGCUUAUUGUUUUUCCAUAUUCUGUAUCAAUGUCUAUGUGCAUAAUUUUAUACAUGCACUCUCUGCUUGUUUCCUGUUGAAUUGAAUUAUAUGAAAUAAACAUUGG
This is a long non-coding RNA of Catharus ustulatus (Swainson's thrush), 3334 nucleotides long. Lineage: Eukaryota; Metazoa; Chordata; Aves; Passeriformes; Turdidae. The record is from Ensembl.